ACAGAUGGGAGCUUGCUCCCUGAUGUUAGCGGCGGACGGGUGAGUAACACGUGGGUAACCUGCCUGUAAGACUGGGAUAACUCCGGGAAACCGGGGCUAAUACCGGAUGGUUGUCUGAACCGCAUGGUUCAGACAUAAAAGGUGGCUUCGGCUACCACUUACAGAUGGACCCGCGGCGCAUUAGCUAGUUGGUGAGGUAACGGCUCACCAAGGCGACGAUGCGUAGCCGACCUGAGAGGGUGAUCGGCCACACUGGGACUGAGACACGGCCCAGACUCCUACGGGAGGCAGCAGUAGGGAAUCUUCCGCAAUGGACGAAAGUCUGACGGAGCAACGCCGCGUGAGUGAUGAAGGUUUUCGGAUCGUAAAGCUCUGUUGUUAGGGAAGAACAAGUGCCGUUCAAAUAGGGCGGCACCUUGACGGUACCUAACCAGAAAGCCACGGCUAACUACGUGCCAGCAGCCGCGGUAAUACGUAGGUGGCAAGCGUUGUCCGGAAUUAUUGGGCGUAAAGGGCUCGCAGGCGGUUUCUUAAGUCUGAUGUGAAAGCCCCCGGCUCAACCGGGGAGGGUCAUUGGAAACUGGGGAACUUGAGUGCAGAAGAGGAGAGUGGAAUUCCACGUGUAGCGGUGAAAUGCGUAGAGAUGUGGAGGAACACCAGUGGCGAAGGCGACUCUCUGGUCUGUAACUGACGCUGAGGAGCGAAAGCGUGGGGAGCGAACAGGAUUAGAUACCCUGGUAGUCCACGCCGUAAACGAUGAGUGCUAAGUGUUAGGGGGUUUCCGCCCCUUAGUGCUGCAGCUAACGCAUUAAGCACUCCGCCUGGGGAGUACGGUCGCAAGACUGAAACUCAAAGGAAUUGACGGG
This 866-nucleotide ribosomal RNA is filed under the name Bacillus siamensis. RNAcentral's name for it is "bacterial SSU rRNA". It matches the Rfam family "Bacterial small subunit ribosomal RNA", at positions 69 to 917 of the family's 1533-position model. Lineage: Bacteria; Bacillati; Bacillota; Bacilli; Caryophanales; Bacillaceae. The record is from RNAcentral.